AAGAAGCUUCUAAGCAACGUAAGCUUUUGGGGGCGCUUUACCCAGAUGGCUUAUUUUCGAGGUUUGCAGAAAAGCGCUGUCAUCUUUCUCUUCUGAGGGGGGGAAAAGAUGUGUGUGGCAGGAGGACCAGGCGGGCUAAAAGUUCUGCCUGUUUAAGCCUGGUGGUUUCAGUCUGGUUUGAGUAUGGUUUGUUCCAUAUUGAAAUGGCUGUGACCAACUGAUCUUGGAUCUUCUGCCCCCAGCUCACAGCUGAAUCCCAUUUCAUGAAAGAUCUGGGUUUGGACAGUUUGGACCAAGUGGAGAUCAUCAUGGCUAUGGAAGACGAAUUUGGAUUUGAAAUUCCUGAUGCAGAUGCAGAAAAGUUAAUGUGUCCACAGGAGAUUGUAGAUUACAUUGCAGAUAAGAAGGAUGUUUAUGAAUAAAAACAGUUCUUCAAAGCAAAGAUUGAAGCGUGACAGGUCAGUGGGGGAGCUAUGUCCAUUUGCUGCUAUCUCUGUGCCAAGAAUAGAUGGAAUAAAGGAGAUGUCUCUACCACUACGACUGGGCAGAUGUCAGCAGAUAUGAAUAUAAGCGCACAUGCUGUACUGUUGCUGCUUUCAUUAGAAAGUUGUACUGGAAAGUUGUAUUGGACAUUGUAUUUAAAGUUGUCUGAAUAUGUUGACCUUUAAAAACAGGGAGAAAAAAAGGAAUAAAUAUACAAGACCAGUGUUGCGUUGAUGGCCU
This 723-nucleotide long non-coding RNA is filed under the name Struthio camelus australis. RNAcentral's name for it is "lncRNA (ENSSCUG00000001198.1)". Lineage: Eukaryota; Metazoa; Chordata; Aves; Struthioniformes; Struthionidae. The record is from RNAcentral.